AACGCGAAGAACCUUACCGACGCUUGACAUGUGCAGAACCUCAGGGAGACCUGGGGGUGCCCGCAAGGGAACUGCAACACAGGUGCUGCAUGGCUGUCGUCAGCUCGUGUCGUGAGAUGUUGGGUUAAGUCCCGCAACGAGCGCAACCCUUGCCUUUAGUUGCCAGCGGGUUAUGCCGGGCACUCUAGAGGGACUGCCGGUGACAAACCGGAGGAAGGCGGGGAUGACGUCAAGUCCUCAUGGCCCUUAUGCGUCGGGCUACACACAUGCUACAAUGGCCGGUACAAAGGGAAGCCAAGGAGCGAUCUGGAGCCAAUCCCAGAAAGCCGGUCGUAGUCCGGAUUGUUCUCUGCAACUCGAGAGCAUGAAGUCGGAAUCGCUAGUAAUCGUGGAUCAGCUACGCCACGGUGAAUACGUUCCCGGGUCUUGUACACACCG
This 438-nucleotide ribosomal RNA is filed under the name uncultured bacterium. RNAcentral's name for it is "bacterial SSU rRNA". It matches the Rfam family "Bacterial small subunit ribosomal RNA", at positions 958 to 1392 of the family's 1533-position model. The record is from RNAcentral.